RNAcentral lists this ribosomal RNA (3050 nucleotides) under Triticum dicoccoides. Its description in RNAcentral is "eukaryotic LSU rRNA". The stretch from base 46 to 2487 matches the Rfam family "Eukaryotic large subunit ribosomal RNA". Lineage: Eukaryota; Viridiplantae; Streptophyta; Magnoliopsida; Poales; Poaceae. The record is from RNAcentral.
GCCUCUAAACGACCGAACAAACGAAGCGCAUGUUGCUUCGACCGCGACCCCAGGUCAGGCGGGACUACCCGCUGAGUUUAAGCAUAUAAAUAAGCGGAGGAGAAGAAACUUACAAGGAUUCCCCUAGUAAUGGCGAGCGAACCGGGAGCAGCCCAGUUUGAGAAUCGGGCGACUGUGCCGUCCGAAUUGUAGUCUGGAGAGGCGUCCUCAGCGACGGACCGGGCCCAAGUCCCCUGGAAAGGGGCGCCUGGGAGGGUGAGAGCCCCGUCCGGCCCAGACCCUGUCGCCCCACGAGGCGCCGUCCAUGAGUCGGGUUGUUUGGGAAUGCAGCCCAAAUCGGGCAGUAGACUCCGUCCAAGGCUAAAUACAGGCGAGAGACCGAUAGAGAACAAGUAGCGCGAGGGAAAGAUGAAAAGGACUUUGAAAAGAGAGUGAAAGAGUGGUUGAAAUUGCCGGGAGGGAAGCGGAUGGGGGCCGGCGAUGCGCCCCGGCCGUAUGCGGAACGGCUUUUGCUGGUCCGCCGCUCGGCUCGGGGUGUGGACUUUUAUCGGCCGCACCGGCGGCCAAAGCUCGGGGGCCCUAGGUGCCCCUAGUGGCCGUCGUCAGCACGGCCGGUACCCGCGCGCCGAAAGGCGUGUCCCUCGGGGCACUGCGUGCAAUGGCCCGCGGGCUCCCCAUCCGACCCGUCUUGAAACACGAACCAAGGAGUCUGACAUGCGUGCGAGUCAACUGGUUCUAAAACCUGGGAUGCGCAAGGAAGCUGGCAAGCAGGAGGCCCUCACGGGCCGCACCGCUGGCCGACCCUGAUCUUCUGUGAAGGGUUCGAGUUGGAGCACGCCUGGCGGGACCCGAAAGAUGGUGAACUAUGCCUGAGCGGGGCGAAGCCAGAGGAAACUCUGGUGGAGGCUCGAAGCGAUACUGACGUGCAAAUCGUUCGUCUGACUUGGGUAUUGGGGCGAAAGACUAAUCGAGCCAUCUAGUAGCUGGUUCCCUCCGAAGUUUCCCUUAGGAUAGCUGGAGCCCGUUACGAGUUCUAUCAGGUAAAGCCAAUGAUUAGAGGCAUUGGGGAUGCAACGUCCUCAACCUAUUCUCAAACUUUAAAUAGGUAGGAUGGCGCGGCUGCUUCGGUGAGCCGUGCCACGGAAUUGGGUGCUCCAAGUGGGCCAUUUUUGGUAAGCAGAACUGGCGAUGCAGGAUGAACCGGAAGCCGGGUUAAGGUGCCCAACUGCGCGCUAACCUAGAACCCACAAAGGGUGUUGGUCGAUUAAGACAGCAGGACGGUGGUAAUGGAAGUCGAAAUCCGCUAAGGAGUGUCUAACAACUCACCUGCCGAAUCAACUAGCCCUGAAAAUGGAUGGCGCUGAAGCACGCGACCCACACCCGGCCAUCUGGGCGAGCGCCAUGCCCCGAUGAGUAGGAGGGCGCGACGGCCGCUGCAAAACCCGGGGCGCGAGCCCGGGCGGAGCGGCCGUCGGUGCAGAUCUUGGUGGUAGUAGCAAAUAUUCAAAUGAGAACUUUCAAGGCCGGAGAGGAGAAAGGUUCCAUGUGAACGGCACUUGCACAUGGGUAAGCCGAUCCUAAGGGACGGGGUAACCCCGGUAGAUAGCGCGAUCACGCGCAUCCCCCAAAAGGGAAUCAGGUUAAGAUUUCCCGAGCCGGGAUGUGGCGGCUGAUGGCGACGUUAGGAAGUCUGGAGACGCCAGCGGGGGCCUCGGGAAGAGUUAUCUUUUCUGCUUAACGGCCUGCCAACCCUGGAAACGGUUCAGCCAGAGGUAGGGUCCAGUGGCCGGAAGAGCACCGCACGUCGCGCGGUGUCCGGUGCGCCCCCGGCGGCCCAUGAAAAUCCGGAGGACCGAGUACCAUUCACACCUGAUCGUACUCAUAACCGCAUCAGGUCUCCAAGGUGAACAACCUCUGGCCAAUGGAAUAAUGUAGGCAAGGGAAGUCGGCAAAACGGAUCCAUAACUUCGGGAAAAGGAUUGGCUCUGAGGAUUGGGCACGGGGGUCCUGGCCCCGAACCCGUCGGCUGUCGGCGGAUUGCUCGAGAUGCUCACGCGGCGAGAGCGGGUCGCCGCGUGCCGGCCGGGGGACGGACCGGGAAUCGCCCCUUCGGGGGAUUUCCCCGAGCAUGAAACAGUCGACUCAGAACUGGUACGGACAACGGGAAUCCGACUGUUUAAUUAAAACAAAGCAUUGCAAUGGUCCUCGCGGAUGCUGACACAAUGUGAUUUCUGCCUAGUGCUCUAAAUGUAAAAGUGAAGAAAUUCAACCAAGCGCGGGUAAACGGCGGGAGUAACUAUGACUUUCUUAAGGUAGCUGUCGGUGUCAAAACCGGCUGAUCUCGGGUAGGGGGUCCCGAACUGUGCGUCUAGGCGGAUGGUAACAGGAGACAAGGGACACGAUGUUUUACCCAGGUUCAGGCCCUCUUGAUGGAGGUAAAACCCUAUGUCCUGCUUGAUUAAUAUUGAUGAUGUGUGUUACAAGAGUGGAUCUACCACGAGAUCAAGGAGGCUAAACCCUAGAAGCUAGCCUAUGGUAUGAUUGUUGUUCGUCCUAUGGACUACAACCAUCCGGUUUAUAUAGACACCGGAGAGGGCUAGGGUUACACAGAGUCGGUUACAAUGGUAGGAAAUCUACAUAUCUGUAUCGCCAAGCUUGCCUUCCACGCCAAGGAAAGACCCAUCCGGACACGGGACGAAGUCUUCAAUCUUCUAUCUUCAUAGUCUUGGAGUCCGGCCGAUCAUGAUAGUUCGGCUAUCCGGACACCCCCUAGUCUGGAACUCCCUCAGUAGCCCCUGAACCAGGCUUCAAUGACGACGUGUCCGGCAUGCAUGUUGUCUUCGGCAUUGCAAGGCGGGUUCUUCCUCCGAAUAAAUUAUAGAAGAUUGUGAACACCAGGAUAGUGUCCGGCUCUGCAAAAAUAAAUUCCACGUACCACCGUAGAGGGAAUAAUAUUACACAAGAUUAAUCUGCUGAUGUAUUUUGUGGUGUGAUGUCACGCCACUUCCAAGCUUUUACUCGAAUUGUUUUUAUUGUUCCACCUCAGCGCG